RNAcentral lists this microRNA precursor (71 nucleotides) under Mytilus galloprovincialis (Mediterranean mussel). It matches the Rfam family "mir-10 microRNA precursor family". From Rfam's summary of the family: In this case the mature sequence comes from the 5' arm of the precursor. The extents of the hairpin precursors are not generally known and are estimated based on hairpin prediction. The record is from RNAcentral. Lineage: Eukaryota; Metazoa; Mollusca; Bivalvia; Mytilida; Mytilidae.
GCAUAUUUACCCUGUAGAACCGAGCGAGUGAUGUAACUUAAACACUGUUCGAUUCUGAGGGUCAAUGAGAC